Molecule: transfer-messenger RNA, 384 nt
Filed under: bacterium
Lineage: Bacteria
Also listed under: 1 other name
Description: JACRHL01 sp016212085 Standard tmRNA
Rfam family: transfer-messenger RNA
About the family: Bacterial tmRNA, also known as 10Sa RNA or SsrA, is named for its dual tRNA and mRNA-like properties. Its role is to liberate the mRNA from a stalled ribosome.
Source: RNAcentral
GGGGGCGAAAGGUUUCGACGGGGAUGAUGGAAACCGGGGUUGCGUGCCGAGGUCUCCGGUUGGCCUCGUAAAAAAACCGGAAAAAACUCAAGUGCCAACGAGCCGCAAUUCGCACUGGCCGCUUAAUUAGCGGUUAGGCUCACCGGCGGCUACGGCCGUCGGCGUUCCACCCGGAUUCACCCGGGGUCUGGGCUGGGACGUCAUUCACUGGGUUGGUUCUCCGCGCGGGCACCUUGCGCGGGGGGCGAGAUCUUAGGGCGCUGGCACGGCGCGAAGCCUGUUUGUGGGCGUCGCGCCGGGUAAGAUUCAAAACACAAUCUACGCACGUAGAUGCCCUGGAUGAAGCGUUCUCGGACGCGGGUUCGAAUCCCGCCGCCUCCACCA